Molecule: non-coding RNA, 21 nt
Organism: Caenorhabditis elegans
Lineage: Eukaryota; Metazoa; Nematoda; Chromadorea; Rhabditida; Rhabditidae
Source: Ensembl
UAUUACAUCUGAAACAGGAUG